GAUGAACGCUGGCGGCGUGCCUAAUACAUGCAAGUCGAGCGAACAGACGAGGAGCUUGCUCCUCUGACGUUAGCGGCGGACGGGUGAGUAACACGUGGAUAACCUACCUAUAAGACUGGGAUAACUUCGGGAAACCGGAGCUAAUACCGGAUAAUAUAUUGAACCGCAUGGUUCAAUAGUGAAAGACGGUUUUGCUGUCACUUAUAGAUGGAUCCGCGCCGCAUUAGCUAGUUGGUAAGGUAACGGCUUACCAAGGCAACGAUGCGUAGCCGACCUGAGAGGGUGAUCGGCCACACUGGAACUGAGACACAGUCCAGACUCCUACGGGAGGCAGCAGUAGGGAAUCUUCCGCAAAGGGCGAAAGCCUGACGGAGCAACGCCGCGUGAGUGAUGAAGGUCUUCGGAUCGUAAAACUCUGUUAUUAGGGAAGAACAAAUGUGUAAGUAACUAUGCACGUCUUGACGGUACCUAAUCAGAAAGCCACGGCUAACUACGUG
This 497-nucleotide ribosomal RNA is filed under the name uncultured bacterium. RNAcentral's name for it is "partial 16S ribosomal RNA". It matches the Rfam family "Bacterial small subunit ribosomal RNA", at positions 28 to 507 of the family's 1533-position model. The record is from RNAcentral.